CGACAGGGCGCGGAACCCGAAAACCUGUCUCAGUUCGGAUUGGAGUCUGCAACCCGACUCCAUGAAGCUGGAUUCGCUAGUAAUCGCGCAUCAGCCACGGCGCGGUGAAUACGUUCCCGGGCCUUGUACACACCGCCCGUCAAGCCAUGGAAGCCGGGAGUGCCUGAAGUGCGUGACCGCAAGGAGCGUCCUAAGGCAAUACCGGUGACUGGGGCUAAGUCGUAACAAGGUAGC
Molecule: ribosomal RNA, 234 nt
Filed under: uncultured bacterium
Lineage: Bacteria
Description: partial 16S ribosomal RNA
Rfam family: Bacterial small subunit ribosomal RNA
Source: RNAcentral